RNAcentral lists this ribosomal RNA (454 nucleotides) under Mauremys caspica. Its description in RNAcentral is "partial 16S rRNA". It matches the Rfam family "Bacterial large subunit ribosomal RNA", at positions 1970 to 2594 of the family's 2925-position model. Lineage: Eukaryota; Metazoa; Chordata; Testudines; Geoemydidae. The record is from RNAcentral.
UGUCUUUUAAAUAGAGACUAGAAUGAAUGGCCAAACGAGGUUCUACCUGUCUCUUACAAAUAAUCAGUGAAAUUGAUCUUCCUGUGCAAAAGCAGGAAUAAUAUUAUAAGACGAGAAGACCCUGUGGAACUUCAAAUACAAAUCAACUAUCACCGAUAUCCGCCCACGGGCCCACGUCAAACUAGCAUCUGAUUUAUAUUUUCGGUUGGGGCGACCUCGGAGUAAAAUAAAACCUCCGAAAAAGAAUUCUCUCUAAACCUAGACCUACUACCCAAAGUGCCUCCGGCAAAACGAUCCAAUAUAAUUGAUCAACGAACCAAGCUACCCCAGGGAUAACAGCGCAAUCCCAUCCUAGAGUUCCUAUCGACGAUGGAGUUUACGACCUCGAUGUUGGAUCAGGACAUCCUGAUGGUGCAGCCGCUAUCAAGGGUUCGUUUGUUCAACGAUUAAUAGU